Molecule: ribosomal RNA, 497 nt
Filed under: uncultured bacterium
Lineage: Bacteria
Description: partial 16S ribosomal RNA
Rfam family: Bacterial small subunit ribosomal RNA
Source: RNAcentral
GAUGAACGCUGGCGGCGUGCCUAAUACAUGCAAGUCGAGCGAACGGACGAGAAGCUUGCUUUUCUGAUGUUAGCGGCGGACGGGUGAGUAACACGUGGAUAACCUACCUAUAAGACUGGGAUAACUUCGGGAAACCGGAGCUAAUACCGGAUAAUAUUUUGAACCGCAUGGUUCAAAAGUGAAAGACGGUCUUGCUGUCACUUAUAGAUGGAUCCGCGCUGCAUUAGCUAGUUGGUAAGGUAACGGCUUACCAAGGCAACGAUGCAUAGCCGACCUGAGAGGGUGAUCGGCCACACUGGAACUGAGACACGGUCCAGACUCCUACGGGAGGCAGCAGUAGGGAAUCUUCCGCAAUGGGCGAAAGCCUGACGGAGCAACGCCGCGUGAGUGGUGAAGGUCUUCGGAUCGUAAAACUCUGUUAUUAGGGAAGAACAUAUGUGUAAGUAACUGUGCACAUCUUGACGGUACCUAAUCAGAAAGCCACGGCUAACUACGUG